Poecile atricapillus (Black-capped chickadee) is the source of this 380-nucleotide long non-coding RNA. RefSeq lists it as uncharacterized. The transcript is spliced from 3 exons. Lineage: Eukaryota; Metazoa; Chordata; Aves; Passeriformes; Paridae. The record is from RefSeq and is a predicted model, not a curated record.
CAAAGAUGAAAGGUGAAAAUGUGGUAAGGAACUAUUAACUAACUCACUUAGAAGUGAAAAUAAAUGAGAGACCUUUAACAGCGUUGGGACCUGGAAGGAGCCAGAUGCCAGAGAAGAGGGUCUCCUAAAUCAGCAAAUUGAAUCUAGUUGAACACAGAGGAGGAGAGAAGCAAGAACUGGACUGAGGCAUUUCAAAGGGAAAGGAAGAAAUUUAUGCUGUGACAAGCUGCAGGCACAAAAUCAGCUUCACAGCAGUGUCCAUUUCUCUGCUCUUUGGUUUGGCCCUUUUCUUCACCUCACUUUUUACCAUGUGCCAACUGCUACAGGACACAGUCAGGAGCUACAGCUGCUGCUGGAAUCGAAUCCCUUCUCAUCCCAGC